CCGGGGCCGAGGCGGGAGGGGGCCGCGCCAGCGGCGGGCAACAGCAGCUCGCCGUCCUUCCUGUCGGGAGCGCAGUGCCGCGCGGCCGUGAGGCCCGUCCCCUCGCUGCCCGAGAAGCCCGUCUCUCCUGGCGGGCGUGAGGUGGGCUCGGCCGGGUGUGAAUAGGCGUUCUCCGGCCGCCAGAGGGGAGAGCCCGCCGCGGGGCUAAGCGAGGAGGCAAUGGCAGGAGUCGGUGGCACUGUCCGCGGACUGCUGCUCGGCCCGCCUCGGAUGUCGGAGGACUGGUGGACUCCUGGGGGUGGUGUGACCUUUGAGGACAUUGCCGUGUACUUCUCCUGGAAGGAGUGGAGGCUUCUUGAUGAGACUCAGAGACGGCUCUACCACCAUGUGAUGCUGGAGAACUUUACACUUAUAUCCUCACUGGGUUGUUGCUGUGGAGCAGAGGAUGAGGAGGCACCCUUUGCCCAGAGCACUUCUGUAGGCGUGUCACAGACCAGGACGCCCAAGGCAGCUCAGUCUUCCCGGAAGACCCACCCCUGUGAGAUGUGUGGUCCAGUCUUGAGAGGCAUUUUCCACUUGGCUGCGCACCAGGGAAAAGAAAACAGCCAGAGACUGUUGAGGUGUGGGGCCUGUGGGAAACGAUUUUAUUUCAUUACUGACUUCAGAAAACAUGAGAAACAGCACAUGGGAGAGAAACCCUUCAGAAGCCGUGUGGACAGGGCCUCUGUUGUGAAGAGCUGGGGAUUCCAUGGUGCAGGAAAGCCCCUUACCUGUGGAGAAGUUCAGAAGGACUUCCUGUCUGGCUCGGGGCAUCUGCAGCAAGAGGCCACUCGUACUGGGGAGAAGCCACACACGAUCACCCAGUGCAGGGCAACUUUACAAAGCAGAAAAAGUCAUGACCCCUGGGGAGAAUGCAAGAACGCCUUUGGUCCCAAACACACACAUAGUCAGGACCAGGGUGUCCACCUUGGAAGACAGUCCUUUGUGUGCAGUGAAUGCGGGAAAGCAUUCAGAUUUUAUUUAUUUGACAGCACAAGCAGGGGGAGCAGCAGAGGGAGAGGGAGAAGCAGGCUCCCCAGUGAGUCAGGAGCCCGAUGUGGGGCUCCAUCCCAGGACCUUGGAAUCAUGAUCUGAGCCGAAGGCAGACGCUUAACCGACUGAGCCACCCAGGCACCCUGAGAACCUCACCUUUUAGAUAAAUUCUUCAUGUUUUGUGACAUCCUCAGAGGGAAGUGUGACCAUGACACCCUCAGAGGGAAAAGCUGCCGUGGUGUAAAGUUAUCAGAACUGAAAAAUAAUCACAUUUUGGAAGCAAAAUGCCUCAGGUUAUUGGUGUGGAACCGAGAACAAAGAGGUACCUUCUGAACAGUGUUUCUUUAGGAGUAGCACAGAUCAGGACUCCCAAGGCAGGUCUCUUCAUCUAGAAAAUCCACCCUUGUGAUAUGUGUAUUCAUAUCUUGAAGUACAUUUUACAGUUGGCUGAGCACCAUGGAAAAUGGACAGAAACUGUAUACAAGAGAGCAGCAUGUACCAAACAUUUUUAUUUCCGUGCAAACCCUCAGUGUCACCAGGAUCAGCAUAUUGGUGAAAAACUUUAGAAGCAACAUGGAAAGGGCCUCAUGUGUGAAGAGCUGCAAGUUCCAGGUGUUAAGGAAGCCCUUUACCUGGGGGGAGGUUAGGAAGGACUUACCGGCCACCCCAAGCUAUUUCUACAGGAAGGAGAGGCCAAACAAAACCAUCACAUGUGGGUUGGCAGAAAAAGUCAUCACAACUGGGGAAAAUGCAAGAAAGCCUUCGGCUACACAGACACACUUGCUCAGAACCAGGUGUCUACACUGGAGAAAAGCCUUAGAGUGUAGUGAAUAUAGGAAAUCUUUUAGCUAUAGUUCCACCUUCGAUUAUUAAUGGAGAGUUCACACUAGAGAAAGACCUUAGUUGUGGAGGGAAAGUGCAAUCUCCUUGUUCAGUGUUAACAGAAAUGGAUCAAAGCCUCUGUGAGUAGCCAUCUGCCUCAUUUGAAUCUCAUACAUCUAAACCUUCAUAGAGGGAAGGUUCCCCAUAAAUUUCAUUUAUGUAGGAAGCAUGUGUGGCUAUGAUGCACUUUCUAACUUGCCCAGGGCUCUCUCCAGAUUUAUGUCACUGCCAGUUUCUGUGGCCAGAGCCACUUCAUCUCUACCACAUGGCAGGUCCCCACAGUGUGCAUCAGUCACCACCCCAAUGUGCUCAGGGAAGCUGACAUCCGUUCUGUAAUGUAUUCGAGCAAAGUAGGAGUAACCUGAGCCUUUCAUAGGUCCACAUUCCCUUCUCUCUGACUAGUUGGCAAGGACCUCACCCAGUUUUGGCCCAGAGGAAACCAAAUGAAUUCUACUGGCAGCUUGCCAAGAACUACUUUUUUCAGGCACGUUUGUCUCACGUGAUAUUUGUAAUACCUUUUCCAGCUCCCAAGUCUCCAACCUGAGAACUGCCUACCACACGUUGCUUUGGUUUGUACAAUAAGAAAGACCUUAUUGUUUCAAUCCUCUCUAAAUUUGGGGUUCUAGUUACUAUGCAGUGGUUUAUAAUAGAUUUGGGCCCUGCACACAUUACAAUUUUUGUCAGUAUGGCAGAAAAUGGCACCUCAGUUUUGGGCAAAUUUGUAUUGCUGCCUAUGGCCGCUUUAUGGUAAAGAUCUGUCACGCUCAUCAAUGGCAUGGAUGCCUGGGUGAUUAGUCUCCAGAUAACCGCAUAUGGCCCCCUUAAAGAGGGGCAGCCGAUCCUCUACCCCUGAGCUGGGGCCUUCCAUUUCCCAGAGCGCCUCGCAGUAAAUAUUUGUGGGCCUUUUCUCCUGGAGUCAGGUGGGGAACCCGCUUACCUAGACCUUGGGAGCUGUGGGAACUACAUUUCCCAGAACGCCCUGCGCUGAAGACGGCGUAGCUGAGCCAAUGAAGGCUUAGAAAAGGGGCGUUUCCGAUUGAGCACAAAGCGUCGGGGCGGGGCUUGCGGCCCCCAGUCCGUGGCCAUCAUCUUGGCCGCCUGCUGGUGUCGUCCGCUUGUGGGAGGUUCCGGAGAGCGGGGCCGGGGGCGAAAGGAGGCUUUGUCCCGGCUGUAGGGAGGCGGGUCUAGGGUCGGGGGUAUCGCCGCCUGCGAGGACCGCCUGGAGACCUCGGUGCCCGCGACUGCCCGGCUCGCUCAGCUGUCAUCACCUCACUCCGCCCAGAGGCUCCGAUGGCGGCGGCCGCGCGCAGGGACCCGGCUCCGAAUGCAACUCCCUUGUGGGCCUUUAUGGUGAGUGGUAUCCUUUUCUCAGAGGUGUGAAUUUAUGUGGUAAAUAAACUGCUGUCAGGCUCAUCUGUCCAGUCUCAGGUGUCACGUGUUUGGCCAUCACCAUAGUCUAAGAGUGGGAUUAAGAGGAAGCAGUAACAUCUGGGUAGGUCAGGCAGAUGCAUAUGGAGCAGGACAGUGAGGUAGUGGCAGUCAUGGUCAUGCAGCUGUGGGAUAUGGAGACUGAGGGAUGUGUAGUCUAAAGAAUGAUGUGUCCUUGGAGAGGGAGCAUUGUUAGAUGGUCCCAGGGCCCUGAGUUUAUAAUUACAUGGCAAUGACCAUACCAGGGGAAUUGCUUGUCAGGAGUCGUGGAUCCCGGUAUGCUAGGCCCACAGCUUAGAUAUGUAUUUGUCCACCUGUCUCUUGCUAGUGGUUGAACCCAGUGGUCAAUGGGACCAUGAGGAGACAACAACACCGAUGCUACCAGGCCCUGAUUUCUCCUCUAAGUUGGGAGGCUUGAGCUAUAGAUGGUCAUAGGGUAGAUGUGUGGGGGAAGGGAUUGUGGCUCCUCGGAAGUAGACUAUUUGUGGUUUCAUCCAUCAUCAUCAUCAUCAUAGCAGGGCAGUGUGACCUUUCAAGAUGUAGCUUAUAGUUGUCUACACUAUAAGCAAGAGAAGCAGAUUUACUAUCACUGUUACUGAAUUUUGAAUCAAAAUAUCCUGGAAUACUAGAUGACAUGAAAUGUGAGCCUACAAAUAUAUAAAGUUGAUUAAAUAAAUAGUGGGAUGUUCUAAAGGGAACUAAAACCCUAGAAACUGUACUUGGAACAUUUGUUUUUCUUGCCCAGCAGGUAAAGCAGAACUGAGAGACCCACAUGUCACUGUCAAAGAGCAUGAAGGGAUGAAGGUCAGGGAGCCUGAAGAGACCGGUAUAGAGGUGUUCAUCAGACCAUGUUGUAGGUUCAUAGUCAGGGUUACUCAAAAAGAUAAAAUGGAAGAAAGUAAAAGGAGACCAACAUAUUCAUCAGGAUGAGAUUGGCUUUUGUCCCAUCAAGAUGAGAAUGGAGCUUGGGGCUUUGGUUUCACAGAAAGGUCUGGGGGAAAGGCCGUGGCCGUGAAUGUGUUGGAUGUGCUGCUUGUGCGUGAGCGGAACAAGGACGUGGCACCACUUGGUAGAUGAGGCCAGAGCACAUAAUGCCAGUGAAGGACAAGAUGCAUACAUGCAGUGAGAUAAUAUUUCUGGAAUAUCCAAUAAACAGUCCUAUAUAUUUUUUCAGUAGUCUUUUUUGUUGUUUAUUUUGGAGCCAUUUACUUUCAUAGGAGUAAAUUUAUUUAAGGGAGAUGCAAGGUAUAGGAGAGGAAACAGCAGAAGCCAGUGACACUUUGGGAACAUCAUUCUAAGCUCCAUCCACUGCAAAGUAUUGUGGCAAAACUUAAGGUUCUGAAAGCCACUCAGAAAGCAGGUAAUGCUAAGAAGAACCUUCUGCCCUUUUUGUGAAAAUAAAGACAGUUAAUAUCCCACAUCAUUCCAGAAAAUAAAUUCCAUUCAAAAGCUGCCAUUGGCUGGCAAAUCUCGUUAGAGAGAAGCUUUACGGAUAAGCUUAAAGAUAAGUUGGUUGAAAUUCAAGUCUGUCAAUAGCACCUUCUAUGCAGUGAGCAAAGUAAAAUUAUAAAGAUAAGUGAGGUAAAGCAUUUCCAAGGAUCCCAGAUCCAGUAUGGUUGAGAAAGGUAAUAUCCAAAUUUAAGUUAGAAACAAUUUUAUCAAUUUAGAGGACUUGAAUUUUUCUUGAAUCAGAGAAAUAUGCAAACUUUAAAAUAAAAUUGGCUUGGGGCACCUGGCUGGCUCCGUCGCUGGAGCAUGGGACUCUUGAUCUCAGGGUCAUGAAUUUGAGCCCCAUGUUGGGUGUAGGGCUUACUUAAAAAAUAUAUUGAUUAAUUAAAUUAAAUAAAUUUAUUUUUUUAUAAUAACAAAAAGAUUGAAACCUAUCUGAUGUCUAUCAGUGGAAAAUUGAAUAAAUCAUGAUGCAUACCAAGAUGGAGCAUUAGACAGUGUGGAGAUGAUAAGGAAGUUCUCUUAACUGCUACAAUCCAGAACAUACUGUUUGGUGAAAAAGAAGAGGAAGCAGGUGUCACAAUAUUUUGUGCAGGUAGCUUUAUUUUCCUAAGAAUGGAAGGGAAAUUUAUUUUUCUUUGUUUCUCUUCAGUGUCAUUAUGGCUUGAUUGGCUGAUACUACAAGAACCUACUGAAUAUAUUGAUGUUAACUUGACAAAAAUAGAGAUAAGGAGAUACUAUGUUCCUUUGGAAUGUCAUAUAGAAAAAAGUAGCAGUGGCUCCAUAUGAAUAAUUCUACCCAAAUACCAAAUCAAAUUUUGAUCCCAUCCGUUGAUUAAGUGAGUGUUUAAAGGAACAAUGGGGCAUUGAGGAUUAUAUUAAAAUACAUUAUGAGGAAGCAGUAAGCCCCAUUAAUAUAUGUGAAAUUCUAUAAGAUAUAUGAACCUUUUCAUAAAAUGUGAUAUGUUAAGAUAAAAGGAACAGGAUAUAAUAAAGUCUAGAGAAUAUAUAAAUAUGAUACAAUGGUCAGAAAAAUAUUUGAAUGCUGAUUCCAACAAACAACUCUGAAUAUUUAAUCAACAUAUCAGAAUUUGAAUAAUGACUUGGUAUUUGAUGAUUUUAAGCAACUUAAUUUAUAUGUAAUAAAGAUAUUGUAUAUUAAAUAAAAUAUUCUUUUAUAAAAAAUAUUCCUUUAUGAACAUUCACUGAAGUGUUUAGAGGCACAAUUACAUGGCUUCUUAAAUUAUCCUUAACGUGAAUUGGCUUUGGAGGGAACUUGGGUGGGUUUAUACAUGAAAUGAGUUUGGCAGUGGGUGGGUCCUGUGAAACUAUGUUAUGGGUCCAUAUGAUUCAUUUAUUAACCCUUUCUGUUUUGUAGAUGUCUGAAAAUUGGAAGUUAUUAAAAUGUCAUUAUUUCAAUAAUUAACAAAUUCAGAUAAAUAUUUUUCCUCUAUUUGCUAAAACAAUUCUUUUAUUUUCUAGGGCACCAUUCUUUAUAUUGCAUUGUUUUAGCCUUCAAUUUUGAGAGUAUUACAUCUCUUUUUUUUUUUAAGAUUUUUAAAAUCAUUUAUUUAUUUAUUUAUUUAUUUAUUUUUUAAAGAUUUUAUUUAUUCAUUUGAGACAGAGAGAAUGAGAGACAGAGAGCAUGAGAGGGAGGAGGGUCAGAGGGAGAAGCAGACUCCCUGCCGAGCAGGGAGCCCGAUGCGGGACUCGAUCCUGGGACUCCAGGAUCAUGACCUGAGCCGAAGGCAGUUGCUUAACCAACUGAGCCACCCAGGCGCCCCUAAAAUUAUUUAUUUAUUUGACAGAGAGAGAGCGCGAGAGCAGGAACACAAGCAGGGGGAGUGGGAGAGGGAGAAGCAGGCUUCCCGCUGAGCAGGGAGCCCGAGGCGGGGCUCGAUCCCAGGACCCUGGGAUCAUGACCUGAGCCGAAGGCAGAUGCUUAACAACUGAGCCACUCAGGUGCCCCGCCCCUGAAGUCUCUUUCUAUUACUCUGUUUCUCAUCAUUUUUCCUAAGCAAGGAUCAACAACUUAAAUGCCUUCCACACUGGGAGGAGAGGGCAGUGAAAGGAGUAAAGUCAGCAACGUGGGGUAGAGCUUGCAUGCUGAAGAAGAGAAGACCCAACUAUGUUGGCCAUUAUUUUGUAUUUAUGAUCAAUUUUUUACUUUGUUAAGCAGGUCAUCAAAUCCAGAUUAUUAUUUUUUAAAUUAGACUGUAUUUUUUUUAGGACAGCUUUAGGUUCACAGCAAAAUUGUGUGGAAGCUGUAGAGGUUUCCUGUAUAUCCCUUUUCCCCCACAUAAACACAGACCCCUCUACUCUCAACAUCCUACAUCAGAGUGGUAUAUUUUGUUACAAUCAACGAAUCUGCACUGACAUCAUU
Molecule: RNA transcript, 7174 nt
Organism: Mirounga angustirostris (Northern elephant seal)
Lineage: Eukaryota; Metazoa; Chordata; Mammalia; Carnivora; Phocidae
Gene name: zinc finger protein 345-like
Exons: 7
Source: RefSeq, a predicted model, not a curated record